This is a long non-coding RNA of Girardinichthys multiradiatus, 462 nucleotides long. RefSeq lists it as uncharacterized. The record is from RefSeq and is a predicted model, not a curated record. NCBI's taxonomy places the organism in Eukaryota, Metazoa, Chordata, Actinopteri, Cyprinodontiformes, Goodeidae. The transcript is spliced from 2 exons.
CGUUCUUGACAUCUUCAGCCACCUCCUUCCUAGUCAUAAGCUUCUCCGGAUAAGCAUUUGUGCCCACGGCCGUUUCACAGUGUUGCCUUCCCAAGCCCACUGCCUGCCUGCUCUCCAAUGGUUUACCUGCAACGCCUUGGACCCCUUACCAUCUGGACCACAACCUUCAUUGCAUCUCCAGACUGAACUGAGCCCUCCUCCUUCAGAGCAACUUCCACCAAUAAAGACAAUACCAGAACUACUCAAGCCCAACUGUUGGCUCUUACAAUGAACUCUUAAAACCAUCAUGUCUCUGAGUUCUGCCUCCAUCUGGGUCAGAAAGCUAAAUGAAAACACGAUGUUGGGUUUUGGAAUAACUUUCAAUGUUGCCUUUACUGUAAAAAUAUUAUUUGUAACUAAGCAGACAGCAUUACAAUGUUUGGACUGGAUUUUAUUAACAAAUAAAUUCUAAAUUCGAAUUUA